This is an RNA transcript of Elephantulus edwardii (Cape elephant shrew), 981 nucleotides long. It is a transcript of the gene named olfactory receptor 3A1-like, with no coding region annotated. The transcript has a single exon. Lineage: Eukaryota; Metazoa; Chordata; Mammalia; Macroscelidea; Macroscelididae. The record is from RefSeq and is a predicted model, not a curated record.
GGCCUCAUGCAGUCAAAAUCUGAAGCCAAUGGAACAGCCAUUGCUGAGUUCAUUCUGCUGGGCCUGGUGGAAACACCAGAGUUUCAACCACUUGUCUUUGUGCUCUUCCUCUUGGCCUACAUGUUCACAGUUGGGGGCAACCUCAGCAUCCUGGCUGCCAUCUUGGUGGAGCCCAAACUCCACACGCCCAUGUACUUCUUCCUGGGAAACCUGUCAGUACUGGAUGUUGGCUGCAUCACUGUCACUAUUCCCUCGAUGUUGAGUCGUCUCUUGUCCCACAAGCGUACGGUUCCUUAUGAAGCCUGCCUUACACAGAUCUUCUUUUUCCAUCUCCUGGUUGGAGUGGACUGUUUCCUGUUGACAGCCAUGGCCUAUGACAGAUUCCUGGCCAUUUGUAGACCUCUCACCUAUAGCACUCGCAUGAAUCAGGUUGUUCAGAGGAUAUUGGUGGCCAUGUCCUGGGUUUGUGCCUUUAGCAAUGCACUGACCCACACUGUGGCCAUGUCCACACUCCAUUUCUGCGGUCCCAAUGUGAUAAAUCACUUCUACUGUGACCUUCCACAGCUUUUCCAGCUCUCUUGCUCCAGCACCCAAGUCAAUGAGCUGCUGCUCUUUGCCUUGGGUUUCAUAAUGGCAGGCACCCCCAUGGCUCUCAUUGUAACUUCCUAUGCCCAUGUGGCAGCUGCAGUUCUGAGAAUCCGUUCAGUGGAGGGAAGAAAGAAGGCCUUCUCCACCUGUGGUGCCCACCUCACUGUGGUUACCAUAUUCUAUGGCUCAGGUAUCUUUAACUACAUGCGACUAGGCUCAGUCAAGCUCUCAGAUAAGGAUAAAGCUGUUGGAAUUUUUAACACUGUCGUUAACCCUAUGCUGAACCCUAUUAUCUACAGUCUCAGGAAUCCCGAUGUGCAGAAUGCAGUCAGGCGAGUGUUUGUGGGGAGGCGAUCACUGGCCUGAGGAGGUCUUGUCUGUUGCUUCUUUUAG